This 1538-nucleotide ribosomal RNA is filed under the name Uroplatus ebenaui. RNAcentral describes it as "16S rRNA". It matches the Rfam family "Bacterial large subunit ribosomal RNA", at positions 264 to 2847 of the family's 2925-position model. The record is from RNAcentral. Lineage: Eukaryota; Metazoa; Chordata; Lepidosauria; Squamata; Gekkonidae.
ACCUAUUAACUAGCUCAAACACUAACACCUUAACCCUUAAACUAAUAAACAAACCAUUUGCCAGGCCUAGUAUAUGUGAUAGAACUACACCAGAGACGCAAUAGUAACAGUACUGCAAAGGAAAGAUGAAAGACCGGCCCCACUUAAGUACAUAAAAGCAGCGAUGACCUCACGUACCUCUUGCAUCAUGGUUUAACAAGCCCCCCGCAGCUAAAAUGUUCUUCAACCUGCUACCCCGAAACUAGGCGAGCUACCCAAGAGCAACUAUUUGAGUGAACCCGUCUCUGUGACAAAAGAGUGGGAUGACUUUUGGGUAGAAGUGAAACGCCAAUCGAGCCUAGAGAUAGCUGGUUACUCACUAAAUGAAUAUAAGUUCAACUCUAAUGCCCCCAACUAUUAAACCCAACUACCAAUGGAGCCAAUUAGAAGCGAGACACUAAGGGUACAGCCUUAGUGUCACUGGGUACAACCAAAAAUAGAAGGCCUGUUCACCCCCCCACCCCCGUAGGCCUUCAAGCAGCCAACAAAACCUAACCGCGUUAAAGCGGACACAUACUUAAAUACUUUUAUUAUACUACAACCUCUACCACAAACUGAGUCACCCCAUACACAAAUGGAGGCGCCACUGCUAAAACUAGUAAUAAGAACUAAUUCUCUUUUCACACCUGUAUAUCUUACCAAAUUAGAUAUUUAACAACUUGAUAUAUACUAACAAGAUACUAUAAUUAAACCUAUUGUUGACCCGACACAGGGGUGAACUAAAGAUGUUUAAAACCCAUAAAAGGAACUCGGCUAACAUGCCCCACCUGUUUACCAAAAACAUCGCCUUUAGCCACACAAGUAUUAAAGGUCCUGCCUGCCCAGUGAACCUGUUUUAAACGGCCGCGGUAUCCUAACCGUGCAAAGGUAGCGUAGUCAUUUGUUCUUUAAUUGAGGACCUGUAUGAACGGCUACAUGAGGGCCUAACUGUCUCCUAUGGUCAACCAAUGAACCUGAUCUUCCAGUACAAAAGCUGGAAUAAACACAUAAGACGAGAAGACCCUGCGGAGCUUCAAACAACCCCUAAACCCCCUUUAAGCCCCACUGGCACACUAUACAAGCGUAAUUAGGCAAGUUUUAAGUUGGGGCGACUAUGGGGUAAAACAAAACCCCCCUGACACAAACAUUUGUACAAGGUAGACACACCAACAACAAAAAUAAUGACCCAGUCACACUGAGUAACGAACCAAGUUACCCCAGGGAUAACAGCGCUAUCCCCUUUAAGAGUCCUUAUCACCAAGGGGGUUUACGACCUCGAUGUUGGAUCAGGACACCCAGGUGGUGCAGCCGCUACCAAAGGUUCGUUUGUUCAACGAUUAAUAGUCCUACGUGAUCUGAGUUCAGACCGGAGAGAUCCAGGUCGGUUUCUAUCUAUGUUCUACUCCCUUAGUACGAAAGGACCAGGAAGAUGGCGCCCCUGCCACAAGCAUGCACCCUAAAACAGAUUGUAAACAACUAAAAUCUCAACCAUUCCCCGGCCUGAGACAAAGGCAAAACUU